UAGGGAAUCUUCCGCAAUGGACGAAAGUCUGACGGAGCAACGCCGCGUGAGUGAAGAAGGAUUUCGGUUCGUAAAACUCUGUUGUUAGGGAAGAAAAAAUGUAUAGUAACUAUAUACAAAAGAGACGGUACCUAACCAGAAAGCCACGGCUAACUACGUGCCAGCAGCCGCGGUAAUACGUAGGUGGCAAGCGUUGUCCGGAAUUAUUGGGCGUAAAGCGCGCGCAGGUGGUUUAGAAAGUCUGAUGUGAAAGCCCACGGCUCAACCGUGGAGGGUCAUUGGAAACUAAUAAACUUGAGUGCAGGAGAGAAAAGUGGAAUUCCUAGUGUAGCGGUGAAAUGCGUAGAGAUUAGGAGGAACACCGGUGGCGAAGGCGACUUUCUGGACUUUUACUGACGCUCAGGUACGAAAGCGUGGGGAGCAAACAGG
This 429-nucleotide ribosomal RNA is filed under the name Verrucomicrobiota bacterium. Its description in RNAcentral is "Verrucomicrobia bacterium partial 16S ribosomal RNA". It matches the Rfam family "Bacterial small subunit ribosomal RNA", at positions 355 to 776 of the family's 1533-position model. The record is from RNAcentral. Lineage: Bacteria; Pseudomonadati; Verrucomicrobiota.